CUAAUCAAAUUGUAUAUUUUUUGUAUAUCUUUGUAGCAUGAUUUACAAUAUUGGCAAGUAUAUUUACAUCACAUGUACACCUUUGUUUCCACUUUUUCCUAAAUAUAAGUAAAAUAGGAGCUAGCUUUUCUAAAUAAUCUAGAUUUAAGACAACACAAGAGGACUAAGGUUCAACCUGAAGUUUGGGGGUUGGACUUUCAGACUCCAAUACCAAUAGAACAGCUUUUUGAUCAGCUGUAACCAAUCCCAGACAGCUUAUCAUUAAUACAACAUCAAAUUAAUCUGCUUUGUAUCUUUUAACAGUCAAAUUAAGUAUACAUACUGACAUCUCAUCAUGCAUAUUUUGUGGAAGUUUAUUAUAGAAGAAACAAAACUAUGUAAGACUCUACCCUCUUAACUCCAUGUAGCCAUUCGCUCAUUUUUUCCAAUUAAAAAAAAAUACCAUUUUGAUAAGUCAUAAUGUUGAAAUAUGUGCAGCUAUAUAAAAUGAGAGGCUGAAAAAAACACAACAAAUGAGAACACCACGUAGAACAUCCCAAAAAUCAAACACAUAAAUCUGACUAAAAGCUUUUCCUUCAAGAUCUGCUUCUCAUGUCAGCCAGAAAAUUUGACCUGACUUGGCAGCAGGAACAUUUAGGUUCUCUUCAAUGCAGGCAAUCUGGCAGCAGCACAGUACUGGCCUCUUGCUAUCUAAACAGGUGGGACUGCUGUGCAGCAGUUGAAAGUCCAGACACUACUGUAUAAAGGCAAACAAGAACUCAUAUACAUUACAUUCUGCUUUACUUCUUAAGUCAAGUAACACAUGUACAUUUUACACAUAAUUUUAAACCAGGCAACCAUCUGAGACAGGCACCAGCUCACACAAGUCUCAGAAUUAAACUUCCUCUAUAAACACUCUCCUAUAAAAUUAAAACUUUAGGUAUACUACAUGUUGCACCAUUUUAGGUUUGGGUUUUGUUUUUUCAGUCACCAUCACUAAUUUAUCUGAGCCCAUGAACAUUAUUAGUGUCAAAAUUUUCACAUAUCAAGGUCUAUCAGCUGAGAAAAUGGAAGCAAGCUCACUUCCAUGUAACAAGGUUGAAAAUUGUGCAACUGUCUUGAGUUUACGCAAGGAUUAAAAGUGGCUGACCAACACCCUAAGACAGUUGUAGUCCAUCAGGGGAUAAAAAGGGGGCAGAGGACAUCAUCCACACUUCUCUUACCAUUUAUAUUCUGUAAAGCAAGAACCAAUCAUGCAUUUUUCAGGGCUGAAAAUUCAGUCUGUUCAUAACAGCUCUGAUUCUCUUUUGUUGCAUUUCUUUUACUUUGGUGUUUGAAAGAAAUGUGUUCCACAUUCUGAUUAACAGUUUCCAGCCACUGAUUUCUAAUUAAUGGUGGUUAACAAUGAGCAGCUUAAUAUGGCUUUUCUGCCACUCUCAAAACAAAGAGUAAGAUAUGUCAUAAUUUCUACACAAAUAUACAAAGUCUUAUAAAUGCAAAUUCAUACUUUCAGUAUUACAGGAUUUCAAAUGCACCCAACUCUUCUCUCACAUGUUUUUUGAGUUCAGCAAUUUGGGCUUUUUGCUUUUUUGCCUUGUGACUUUCUUGUUGUUUCCAUCACUUCAUUUUGCAUUUUCUUUGAAGAUGUUUAUGCUGCUGUUAAUGGAACCACAGAGCAAUGCUGGAAGGGACCUUUGGAGACUGUCUAGUCCACUUUUCAGCUCAGAUGACAGCCAGCUUUGAAGUCAAAUCCACAUUGCUCAGGACCUUGAUUAGUCAAGCUUUGAGCAUCUCCAAGGAUGAAGAUGCCACAGCCUCUCAACAACCUGCUCCAGCAUUUGCUUUUCCUCACUGUGACAUUUUUUUCACUAAUAUCUGUUCAGAAUUUCUCUUGCUGCAACAUCAGCCCCUUGCUUCUCACCUUUUCCUUCUGUACCUCCAGAGGUCUGUCUUCUCUACAAUCACCCAUUAGAUAGCUGAAAACAGAAAGCCCCCUCCAAGCCACUCCUUCUUCAAAACAGAACCCAGUUCUCAGAUUCUUUUUGUAUAUUGUGGGCUCCAGCCCUUCUCAGUGGCCUACUACUAGUAGCAUGUCUGCAUCUUCCUUGUACUGGUGAUCCCAAAACUGCACACAACACUCUGGACACCAUCUCACAGAUGUUGAAUUGAUGAUAUUAAUAAAUUCCCUCAAUUAAGCUGCUGCCAAUGCUACCCAGGGUGGGCUUGGCCUUCAUUGCUGCAAAGGCAUGCCAUUGAUUUUUGUUCAACUUGUCCACCAAAAUUCCCAGACCCUGCUUCGCAAGGCAGCUUUCUAGCCAGUCAGUCCCCAGUGUACCUGUUGCCUGAGGCUGGUCUCUUCCAAGCACAGAACUCUGCACCCGACUCCGCUGAGCUUCAAAAGGUCCCCAUCAGUCCACUUCUCCAACCUGUUGAUGUGCCUCUGAAUACCAGCCCCGACCUCCAGUUUAUCAGUCAUUCCCCUCCCCAAUAUGGUGUCACCUGUGCACUUCCCAAGGGUAUACUCCAUCCCAUUUUCUACGUGACUGAUAAAGACAUUAAAUGUUUAGCACCCUUAACAUGAACCCCUGAGGAAUGCCAUGCCACUAUUUAAACCCCUACAUUUUGAGCCCACCGGUCCAGCCAGUUUUCCACUUAUCUGGUAGUCUGCCAAUCCCGUGCGUGUUUCUCCAUUUCAGAUAAAAAGAGGCUAUGUCAAAAGUUUUGCUGGCCCCACACCCUCACUGUAAUCACACCAUUAUACAGGGCAAUCAGAUUGGUCAGGCACGACUUGCCUAGGUAAUUCUGUGCUUGCUGUUACCCAUCACCUUAUCCUGAUGGGCACCUGGGAAUGGCUUCCAGGAAAACUGGCUCCAUGAUCUUCCCAGAGACAUUGAUUAGGCUGUCUGGCUUGAAGUUCCUCAAAUCCACCAUAUCUUCCUUCAGGAUAGCUGUGAUCACCCAGUCCUCAUGCCCUUUCAAAUACCACAGAAAGGCUUCCCAAUGACACUGACUAGUUCCCUCAGCCGCACAUCCCACUCAGGCCCAUCAACAUCUGUGUAUGUCUAGAUUGCUUCAGAAGUCCCUAACUCAAUCUUCCCUUACCCUGGCCUCCAGGCACACAGAACUAAACCUGACAGCAGACCUUGCCAGUAAAGAGCAAAAAAAGCUGUUGAGUAACUCAGCCUCUUCUACUUCCUUUGUCAUUAGGCCUACCACCCUGUUCUUCAGCAAGUCUACACAUUUUAGUCCACUCUUGUUGCUCAGGCAGCUAUAACAGCCCUUCUUUUUUCCCUCCUCACCCACCACAAAUUUCUGUUCCAGCUAAGCUUGGCUCUUCUACUCCACCUGAGCAACAUUUAUUUCUUCCAUGAAACCAUCCCCACUUCCACCUAUGCACAAGUGCUUUCUGCACUUCAGUCCAGCCAGAGCUCCCUGUCCAGCCACAUGGAUUUCCAGCCACAACCCACAUUCCGUGAACUUCAGGAUGUGCAGCCCCUAUGCCUAAAGGAGGCUGCUCUUGACAAUCAAAAACCUGUCUAGGGCCUCCUUACUCCCCACAGCUGCCUCCCAUGGGUUCUCACCUGAAAGCUCACCCAAGAAGCUGAAGUCCAUUCUUCCGAAGAUGAGGGUUAUUGCUCUGCUACACACUUUCUCCUUCCCCGCAGUGAUACAUGGGAUGAACUCAGGAAAUCACUUUCCUAAUAUACUGAUGAAGUGCUACUACUAGUCAUCAAUACAGCCCAAACCAAAACCUCUUACAAAGGUAAACAUACCCAUGUGAAGGUCUUAGUUUCAUAAUGUCCCUGCAACAGAUAUGACAUUCUUCAAAUUCUGCAGAUGGUUUCUGUAACACACAUGGCCUUUCAUUCAACUCUGAAGAUAACGACACUAAAGAUGAUACAGAUACAUAGCUUACCAAUGUCCAAAAUAAACCAUCCUUACACUGAAAGUGCUUAAACGUGCAAGGAACCCAUUUGUUUUACCAGGUUAUCUCCAGAAAGCUCUGCUUUUAUCCACAAUUUUUGAAAGAGGCUAAGUGUGUACACAAAUAUAAUUCUACGCUUUUGUUGUUCCCAGGUUCCUCUGCAAAAUCACCACAUCAGCCUGACCCUCACACUGGUGUGCAGCAUCUCUUCCAGGACCAGGAUGACAGUGUUUUCCACAAUUCUCCAUGAUAAGUUUCACUGGAUAUAAACAGGUGUCCUCAUCACUGGACUAUAGUCAUGACACAUCUUGUCUGGCCACAAAGCUGAAAUUGUUCUGUUUGCACAGAAAUAACAGAGGAAGGCCCUAGGCUAGCCUAUGACUUAAUGAUAACCAGAGUCUCCACGGAGGCAGAGAUGUAAUCCACAGAGGUGCCUCAGGGUGAAGAAUUGUACCAUGCCUCCCACUUAAUACGCAUCUUUUGAUCCAAAACUAUGUGACAGCUGGAAAAGCAAAUGCAUGUUGUCUGCUCUACUGUGAAUAAAAUCAGAAGCUAUUUUGUGGAUACUGCUGAGCUGUUAAACAGUAAAAAACCCACAACAGUAAGAAUCAAAUGAGGGGUUUGUAACUACAAAAAAGGCAGCAAUGAGCCAAUUUAUUGUAUCCAGCAUAAAACCAAGUGUCCUCACUAAGCUAAGAUCCAAUUUAUGGGAUAUGUAAUUUAUGGGGUAAAGGCUUUGGACUAAAAAUUAAAUCAAGUUAAAUCCUUUUGCAGAAAUUAUUGUAAAGAAAAAAGGAGGCACACUAUCAAUAAAAAGCAGUGUAAUUUUCAACCUAAUCAUUGAAUGCAUUCUAAUCAACAGACUACAGAAAGGAAGACCUACACAAGUGCUGUGAUGCUAUUUGUCACCACAGCUUAUUGGACAGACAUACACACACACACACACCCCUGCGUUAUGGAAACGCUACAGAGAGGUGGAUGAGCUCUGAUGCAAAUCAAGGCACUAAGCCUCCCUUGGCUUGCACUGGGAUAUUUCACAGAGAUGGGCACCUAGCACUUGAAAACUCAAAGACUUUUCAAGUCUCCCAUGCUCUACCACUGAGGAGGUGCAAAGAAGCCAGGAGGGAGCACAGCCAGGACAGCUAACCUGAACUAGCCAAGCAGAUAUUCCAUGCCACAGAAUGUCAUGCUCAGUGUAUAAACUGGGGGGAGGUGGCCAGAAGCUGCCAAGUGCUGCUCAGGAACUGGCUGGGCAUCAGUCAGCAGUUGGCAAGCAAUUGUAUUGUGUAUCACUUGGGUCUUUCGCAUUUUUUUGCCCUCCUUGGAUUUUAUCCAUUUCUCUCCCUUCCCUCUUCAUUACAAUUAUUAUUACUGUUAUCAUUAUUAUUAUUUACUUUAUUAAACUGUUCUUAACUCAAACUGUGGGUUUUACCUUUUUAUGAUUCUCCUCCCCCAUCCCACAAGAGGGUGAGGGUGGGUGGUAUCUGUGUGUACACACACAAGGAGCCGCAUCAUACUUCGUUGCUGGUGUUAAAUGACAACACACAACUACCAUUACAACAAAAUAAAAAUACCUAACUGUUCUGGAGUACAGCUCCAGCUGUGAGUCUCCUCUGUUACUGAAAUCUCAGUUAUAGAAGACUAAUUGGCACUUGACCUUGCACUGUAUUGACACAGCCCUUGCACAGGAUGGUCAGAAUUUCACAUACACUUUUUUAAAAAGUGGACCCUUCAAAGUCUUCCAUGUCUCUUUCAAACACAUCCUUGUUAAUCAUUCCUGAAGAUAUCAAGCUUUUUACCUCGUUUAAUUCUUAAGGAACAUGCAGCAGAUACAAACAGAACCUAAAUACACAGAGGGUUUGAACACAGCCAUGCUCUUGUUCGAGUAACCAUUACUUCAAGCCAAACAAAAACAAACAUUGCAUAACAUUUCACUGUCUUGAAUGCUCAAGUAUUCCAUGUUGCUGGAGACAUCCUUUUAAGUAGUCAGUUUACUCUUCGCAUUUUUCAACCGUGCUGAGGACAGUGAAGUAUUCUUAGACCAAGCUCAUCCUCUAUGUGCAAUUCCCUCAUAAAACCUGAGUCCAGUGUCUUCCUAGUUUCAUACCGUACCUUCUGUGUAAGCUUUGCCUUUUUUUCAUACCCUCAAUUGCCAUCACUGUGGAUGUACCUUUACUAGAAAAACAUUAGUAAGCAGUACAGAUCAGUAGGAGUCCAUCUGUAAAGUUAAUGUGAGAAUCCUAAUGCAGCCAUACUACACACGUUUCAGCAUUUUGGUCAAGCUCUAGUUUGGACACACAGACCAAAUGCCUAUUUGUGGCUGGAGUAAUUUGGUCUGUCCUGGCAUGCAUCUUCCAGCUCAUUCAAGAAGAAUCCAAUCCACACAGCCCAAGACAACAUCAAAAACACAGCCAAAUUCACUUUGAAAGAACAGUUCUGAUCCAAAUUAAAAUACUGAAUUGUACAUACCUCUUCAUUACUGCUUUUUAAAUCCUUAAAAAUUAAAUAAAUAAAUACAGGAUCCAUAACAUUUCUCUAGCAGUAAUUUUCCAUGCUUUCUCAGUGGAUUAUUGUUUAAUACCCAUUUGUUGUCCAAGUUGAGUAUCAGUGGUAUUAUUCGCAAGACAUAAUCCCGAGGCCACUAAAACUUAAGAGUAACAAUCCAGUCUUCCUGAAUUUAUAAGCCUUAUCUAGUUUCUUCAAAAUUCCCCUUAUUGCUUCCCAACAUACUUCCCACACCAUCCCUACCUGUGCAAAGCAGAAACAUCUUCCAGAUACAUCAGGGAGUUUAGAGACACAACAGAUGUUGUCUAGCUCAAUCAUUCAGUUAGGCAGACACAAACACUAGAGCAUUCCAGUUUGUAUCUACUUCAGGCAAAUCAUUUCCACCUUCUGCCCAUGAAGAUUAAAUAAAGGUGAAGUCCUUGGGUUGCUUACAGGCUUUUGUCAUCUACCUACCUUUGAUUACUUGGUCAAAUAGAAUUGACUAAGACAUCUUCCCGUUGGUGUCUCAGAUCUAUCAGUAACGUAGAGUUGAAGGGCUACAUAGGAUAGCCCUACUUUCCCAUAUCCAUCUCCCUGAGGUUUUUUUAUAUCUAAGAUGAAGUUUGCCAUCUCCCCGUGAUGCAGCUAACAUACCUCACUUUGUAACUGGUCUUAGAAAUUAUAGGACAGAGCAGCUGUACAGUAACGGACUGUAACUCAAGCAGAAGGAAAUUGAUGGCAGGGAGCCUGAAGUCCACCUUUUAGCAACUGACAGUGCUCUUCUUAAGAGCUAGAAGAGUAGAAGAGGGCAACUAAUAUCCAGUUCUCCCAUUUCCUGAAGGUUCAGUGAUCUCCCAAGAGCCACAAAUUUGGGAAAAGUUUUCCUUCAAUUAUAUUUUUCCCCACAUUGGGUUCACCAUUGUCUGACAGGUGUCUUAAGCUCAGUACUACUUCUCCUCUCAUGGUUUUCAAGGUACUGCAGAAGUCAUCUGAAACUGAACCACAAUUAACUGGUUAGCAAGCUCACCUCGUGGAUACCCUUACAAAAAUUCCAUAGUUCCCCCCUCACUGGGAAGUCUUCUUACCUUCCUGGAACAUGUACAUCUGCAAGUCAGAUUCCAAGUAAAACAACAAAAGCUUUACCACGUUACUUUCAUACAGGGUUCAGCAGUGAUGCAAUUAACUUCACCAGUCAAGCUUUAAUUCACAAAUGGCAGUGUUGGUACAAAGCAUACACACAGGAAGAAAAGAAAUCAGAAGAGUGGUAGUACACACAUCACAUGCCCUCUGCCACAUUGGGUGCCAACGGGUAAUCUCAAUAUCCUGAAGUGCCUUUCAUGAACUUGUUCUAAUAGCACAUUUCCCAGCCAUAAACCUUUAUUGUAGCCCCGCUGUACCUGCUAGUGCUACCUCAUUCUUGUGAUACACGUUCAGCUGUCUACUCAGGGAUGCUGUACCUCUGAGGCUUGGGUGGUUUUCUUCUUCAAUUCUGUGCAGGCCACCCGGGACAGCUGUCAUGUUAUCACUACAAGGCCACCUUUUUAUUCUAAACUCAGUGGCCAGCCGCCUUCAGAAGCACUAGCUUUUCCAGUUGAAGUCAUGUCUUAGGGUAAAAGGUUCGGAACCUUCUGACAGACUUAUAAAAUACUUUCAAGUUAAAUGAAUUCAAGUGUCUUCACCAAAUGCCCAAGUUUUUAUCUGAAUAGAAAUUGCAACCCCCACAUUUCUUCUCUAAGCUCCUCUGGUGCACACAAAUAACCUGUUUUUCUUCAGGCAUUGGCCUAAAGACUUCCAAGUAUCUUCCAUCAUAAAAACUGAUUAGCUGAGACUUCUCAAUUUUAAGAGAAAAAACAGUUGCUUUACAUUUACACUGGCAGACACAUCUGUAACCCUAACUUGAGGAAAAUUCAUUGUCUUGGAGAUUUGAUGACAAGUGUUGCAUAAACAACUGUAUACAGCAACGUAAAGAAACUACUAGUCACUGAAGGACGAAGUCUGCCCAAUAAAAUCUGGAAUCUAAAAUGUAUACGUAUUACAUCAUGCUGCUUAUAGGCCAAGAUGAAAUGCCCUGAGCACCUUACAAGGCCCUACAGCCACAGUUCAGUAAUUUCAAGUCUUCAAUUCCAUCAAAAUGGCAAUGUAGAAGUAAAUAGACCAGUGUUCUAUGAAACUACCACAGAUGCCAUUAAGCCUAUUGUUCUAUCUCUUCUCUCAGAAAGAUGGGGCCUUGUAAUGCAGCCACUGACAGAGGACUCCAUCAGGAGCUGUAUGCUUCCAACACACCACACUAUAUUGACACAACGUUUGCAUAACACAUUCAGAACUUCACUUACAACACUUCUGGAAAAAGUUUUAGCAGCAGCCUACCGGCUUUAUGAAUAUUUACAUAUCACAUUCAAAAAGCUUGUAAGUUUUCUUCCCAAAAGACAUGAAAGACUGCUAAGCAGCUGCCUCUUCAGGUUUAAAAUGCCUCAGCAAAUCACUAUCUACAGAAGAUAAUUAACAGCAGACUGAAACACACUACAUACUUAAACUCUGGAGAACACCAUUUUAAUGUGCAGAAUUGUUUUCAUUAGUAAAGCACACCAGACAGAGACAAUUCCUGCAUGCUAAAUCUUUAUUGUGCGAAAUGUUGUUCAGAGUGUUUAUUACCCUUCAUAGACACACAUUCAAAAAAAACCAACAUUAACAGUGGCUAGAUUGAUGG
This is a long non-coding RNA of Falco peregrinus (peregrine falcon), 9095 nucleotides long. RefSeq lists it as uncharacterized. The record is from RefSeq and is a predicted model, not a curated record. NCBI's taxonomy places the organism in Eukaryota, Metazoa, Chordata, Aves, Falconiformes, Falconidae. The transcript has 2 exons.